GUAUCAAUGGUUCAUUCCUUUUCAAUGCUGAAAAUAUCCCAUUGUGUGAGUAUACUACAUUUUAUCAGUUGGCAAUU
This is a non-coding RNA of Ceratotherium simum simum (southern white rhinoceros), 77 nucleotides long. Lineage: Eukaryota; Metazoa; Chordata; Mammalia; Perissodactyla; Rhinocerotidae. The record is from RefSeq and is a predicted model, not a curated record.